RNAcentral lists this ribosomal RNA (497 nucleotides) under uncultured bacterium. RNAcentral's name for it is "partial 16S ribosomal RNA". It matches the Rfam family "Bacterial small subunit ribosomal RNA", at positions 28 to 507 of the family's 1533-position model. The record is from RNAcentral.
GUUGAACGCUGGCGGCGUGCCUAAUACAUGCAAGUCGAGCGAACGGACGAGAAGCUUGCUUUUCUGAUGUUAGCGGCGGACGGGUGAGUAACACGUGGAUAACCUACCCAUAAGACUGGGAUAACUUCGGGAAACCGGAGCUAAUACCGGAUAAUAUUUUGAACCGCAUGGUUCAAAAGUGAAAGACGGUCUUGCUGUCACUUAUAGAUGGAUCCGCGCUGCAUUAGCUAGUUGGUAAGGUAACGGCUUACCAAGGCAACGAUGCAUAGCCGACCUGAGAGGGUGAUCGGCCACACUGGAACUGAGACACGGUCCAGACUCCUACGGGAGGCAGCAGUAGGGAAUCUUCCGCAAUGGGCGAAAGCCUGACGGAGCAACGCCGCGUGAGUGAUGAAGGUCUUCGGAUCGUAAAACUCUGUUAUUAGGGAAGAACAUAUGUGUAAGUAACUGUGCACAUCUUGACGGUACCUAAUCAGAAAGCCACGGCUAACUACGUG